Molecule: ribosomal RNA, 253 nt
Filed under: uncultured bacterium
Lineage: Bacteria
Description: partial 16S ribosomal RNA
Rfam family: Bacterial small subunit ribosomal RNA
Source: RNAcentral
UACGGAGGGUGCAAGCGUUGUCCGGAAUUAUUGGGCGUAAAGAGCUCGUAGGCGGUCUGUCGCGUCUGCUGUGAAAACCCAGGGCUUAACCCUGGGCCUGCAGUGGGUACGGGCAGACUAGAGUGCGGUAGGGGAGAUCGGAAUUCCUGGUGUAGCGGUGAAAUGCGCAGAUAUCAGGAGGAACACCGGUGGCGAAGGCGGAUCUCUGGGCCGUAACUGACGCUGAGGAGCGAAAGCAUGGGGAGCGAACAGG